RNAcentral lists this ribosomal RNA (253 nucleotides) under uncultured bacterium. Its description in RNAcentral is "partial 16S ribosomal RNA". It matches the Rfam family "Bacterial small subunit ribosomal RNA", at positions 524 to 776 of the family's 1533-position model. The record is from RNAcentral.
UACGUAGGGUGCAAGCGUUAAUCGGAAUUACUGGGCGUAAAGCGUGCGCAGGCGGUUUUGUAAGUCUGUCGUGAAAGCCCCGGGCUCAACCUGGGAAUUGCGAUGGAGAUUGCAAGGCUUGAAUCUGGCAGAGGGGGGUAGAAUUCCACGUGUAGCAGUGAAAUGCGUAGAGAUGUGGAGGAACACCGAUGGCGAAGGCAGCCCCCUGGGUCAAGAUUGACGCUCAUGCACGAAAGCGUGGGGAGCAAACAGG